Molecule: small RNA, 128 nt
Filed under: Escherichia coli
Lineage: Bacteria; Pseudomonadati; Pseudomonadota; Gammaproteobacteria; Enterobacterales; Enterobacteriaceae
Description: partial RtT sRNA
Rfam family: RtT RNA
About the family: This family represents a bacterial cis-regulatory element known as RtT RNA. The exact function of RtT is unknown although it is thought that it may be involved in changing the cellular response in relation to amino acid starvation.
Source: RNAcentral
CGCAGGUUCGAAUCCUGCACGACCCACCAGUUUUAGCAUCGAAGACAAGAUGUUAAGCGUGUAGGAUAACGUUGCGUCAGCAACGGCCCGUAGGGCGAGCGAAGCGAGUCAUCCUGCACGACCCACCA